Molecule: long non-coding RNA, 1130 nt
Filed under: Chrysemys picta bellii (western painted turtle)
Lineage: Eukaryota; Metazoa; Chordata; Testudines; Emydidae
Description: lncRNA (ENSCPBG00000011842.1)
Source: RNAcentral
UGUAAGAGAGGAAUAUGACUGCUCAGAGCUCUGGUAUGAAACUGCAGAAAAACCUGAGAGUCUCUGGAUAAAGUUGAGAAGUGUGAGCAACAAGGGUGAUGUCGUGGUCGGAGUCUGCUAUCCCACCAGACCAGGGGGAUGAGGUGGAUGAGGCUUUCUUUUGGCAACUAGCAGAAGUUGCUAGAUCGCAGGCCCUGGUUCUCAUGGGAGACUUUAAUCACCCUGAUAUCUGCUGGGAGAGCAACACAGCGGUGCACAGACAAUCCAGGAAGUUUUUGGAAAGUGUAGGGGACAAUUUCCUGGUGCAAGUGCUGGAGGAACCAACUAGGGGCAGAGCUUUUCUUGACCUGCUGCUCACAAACAGGGAAGAAUUAGUAGGGGAAGCAAAAGUGGAUGGGAAUUUGGGCAGCAGUGACCAUGAGAUGGUCGAGUUCAGGAUCCUGACACAAGGAAGAAAGGAGAGCAGCAGAAUACGGACCCUGGACUUCAGAAAAGCAGACUUUGACUCCCUCAGGGAACAGAUGGGCAGGAUCCCCUGGGAGAAUAACAUGAAGGGCAAAGGGGUCCAGGAGAGCUGGCUGUAUUUUAAAGAAUCCUUAUUACGGUUGCAGGAGCAAACCAUCCCGAUGUGUAGAAAGAAUAGUAAAUAUGGCAGGCGGCCAGCUUGGCUAAACAGUGAAAUCCUUGCUGAUCUUAAAUGCAAAAAAGAAGCUUACAAGAAGUGGAAGAUUGGACAAAUGACCAGGGAGGAGUAUAAAAAUAUUGCUCAGGCAUGCAGGAGUGAAAUCAGGAAGGCCAAAUCACAGUUGGAGUUGCAGCUAGCAAGAGAUGUUAAGAGUAACAAGAAGGGUUUCUUCAGGUAUGUUAGAAACAAGAAGAAAGUCAAGGAAAGUGUGGGCCCCUUACUGAAUGAGGGAGGCAACCUAGUGACCGAAGAUGUGGAAAAAGCUAAUGUACUCAAUCAUUUUUUUGCCUCUGUCUUCACGAACAACGGCAGCUCCCAGACUGCUGCACUGGGCAGCACAGUAUGGGGAGAAGGUGACCAGCCCUCUGUGGAGAAAAGUGCUUCGGGACUAUUUAGAAAAACUGGACGUGCACAAGUCCAUGGGGCCAGAUGUGCUGCAUCCGAG